RNAcentral lists this ribosomal RNA (253 nucleotides) under uncultured bacterium. Its description in RNAcentral is "partial 16S ribosomal RNA". It matches the Rfam family "Bacterial small subunit ribosomal RNA", at positions 524 to 776 of the family's 1533-position model. The record is from RNAcentral.
GACGUAGGAGGCGAGCGUUAUCCGGAUUCACUGGGCGUAAAGCGCAUGUAGGCGGAUGUCUAAGUCGUGUGUUAAAGCCCCUGGCUCAACUGGGGGAGGUCAUGCGAGACUGGAUGACUUGAGGGCAACAGAGGCACGUGGAACUCCCGGUGUAGCGGUGGAAUGCGUAGAGAUCGGGAAGAACACCCGUGGCGAAGGCGGCGUGCUGGGUUGCAACUGACGCUGAGAUGCGAAAGUGUGGGGAGCAAACAGG